This 287-nucleotide unclassified non-coding RNA is filed under the name uncultured fungus. Its description in RNAcentral is "sequence contains ITS2". The stretch from base 1 to 52 matches the Rfam family "5.8S ribosomal RNA", at positions 103 to 154 of the family's 154-position model. Lineage: Eukaryota; Fungi. The record is from RNAcentral.
AACGCACCUUGCGCUCCUUGGUAUUCCGAGGAGCAUGCCUGUUUGAGUGUCAUUAAAUUCUCAACCCACUUGGAUUUUAUCAUUCAAUAAGUGUGGCUUGGAUUUUGGGGGUCUGCUGGCAGAGUCAGCUCCUCUUGAAAUAUAUUAGCGAAGUUGCGCCUUGUUUCUGUGGUCGGUGUGAUAAUUUAUCAACACCUAACCCUAGAAUAGGGUUUCGCUUCUAAUCGUCUUUGGACAAUUUUUUGACCUUUGACCUCAAAUCAGGUAGGACUACCCGCUGAACUUAA